Molecule: ribosomal RNA, 468 nt
Filed under: uncultured bacterium
Lineage: Bacteria
Description: partial 16S ribosomal RNA
Rfam family: Bacterial small subunit ribosomal RNA
Source: RNAcentral
GACGAACGCUGGCGGCGUGCUUAACACAUGCAAGUCGAACGGUGAAGCCUUGCUUUUGUGGUGUGCGGGAGUGUGGCACGGGUGUGUAUCAUGUGAGUGACCUGCGCUCUACUCUGUGAUAUCUUCCUGAAAAUGUGGCUAUUACCGGAUAUGCGCCCCGUCUGCAUGGUGGGGCGUGGAAAGAUUCGGUGGUUGGGGAUGGACUCGCGGCUUAUCAGCUUGUUGGUGGGGUAGUGGCUUACCAAGGCAUUGACGGGUAGCCGGCCUGAGAGGGUGACCGGCCACACUGGGACUGAGAUACGGCCCAGACUCCUACGGGAGGCAGCAGUGGGGAAUAUUGCACAAUGGGCGGAAGCCUGAUGCAGCGACGCCGCGUGAGGGAUGACGGCCUUCGGGUUGUAAACCUCUUUCGGCUGGGACGAAGCGUGAGUGACGGUAAUGGGUGAAGAAGCGCCGGCUAACUACGUG